AACACGUGAGUAACCUGCCCUUGACUCUGGGAUAAGCCUGGGAAACUGGGUCUAAUACCGGAUAUGACCAUCUGACGCAUGUCAUGGUGGUGGAAAGCUUUUGUGGUUUUGGAUGGACUCGCGGCCUAUCAGCUUGUUGGUGGGGUAAUGGCCUACCAAGGCGACGACGGGUAGCCGGCCUGAGAGGGUGACCGGCCACACUGGGACUGAGACACGGCCCAGACUCCUACGGGAGGCAGCAGUGGGGAAUAUUGCACAAUGGGCGGAAGCCUGAUGCAGCGACGCCGCGUGAGGGAUGACGGCCUUCGGGUUGUAAACCUCUUUCAGUAGGGAAGAAGCGAAAGUGACGGUACCUGCAGAAGAAGCGCCGGCUAACUACGUGCCAGCAGCCGCGGUAAUACGUAGGGCGCAAGCGUUAUCCGGAAUUAUUGGGCGUAAAGAGCUCGUAGGCGGUUUGUCGCGUCUGCUGUGAAAGACCGGGGCUCAACUCCGGUUCUGCAGUGGGUACGGGCAGACUAGAGUGCAGUAGGGGAGACUGGAAUUCCUGGUGUAGCGGUGAAAUGCGCAGAUAUCAGGAGGAACACCGAUGGCGAAGGCAGGUCUCUGGGCUGUAACUGACGCUGAGGAGCGAAAGCAUGGGGAGCGAACAGGAUUAGAUACCCUGGUAGUCCAUGCCGUAAACGUUGGGCACUAGGUGUGGGGGACAUUCCACGUUUUCCGCGCCGUAGCUAACGCAUUAAGUGCCCCGCCUGGGGAGUACGGCCGCAAGGCUAAAACUCAAAGGAAUUGACGGGGGCCCGCACAAGCGGCGGAGCAUGCGGAUUAAUUCCGCGAAGAACCUUACCAAGGCUUGACAUGAACCGGAAAGACCUGGAAACAGGUGCCCCGCUUGCGGUCGGUUUACAGGUGGUGCAUGGUUGUCGUCAGCUCGUGUCGUGAGAUGUUGGGUUAAGUCCCGCAACGAGCGCAACCCUCGUUCUAUGUUGCCAGCGCGUGAUGGCGGGGACUCAUAGGAGACUGCCGGGGUCAACUCGGAGGAAGGUGGGGACGACGUCAAAUCAUCAUGCCCCUUAUGUCUUGGGCUUCACGCAUGCUACAAUGGCCGGUACAAAGGGUUGCGAUACUGUGAGGUGGAGCUAAUCCCAAAAAGCCGGUCUCAGUUCGGAUUGGGGUCUGCAACUCGACCCCAUGAAGUCGGAGUCGCUAGUAAUCGCAGAUCAGCAACGCUGCGGUGAAUACGUUCCCGGGCCUUGUACACACCGCCCGUCAAG
Molecule: ribosomal RNA, 1271 nt
Filed under: Arthrobacter sp.
Lineage: Bacteria; Bacillati; Actinomycetota; Actinomycetes; Micrococcales; Micrococcaceae
Description: bacterial SSU rRNA
Rfam family: Bacterial small subunit ribosomal RNA
Source: RNAcentral